UGCUCCACCGGAAAAAGAGGAGUGGCGAACGGGUGAGUAACACGUGGGUAACCUGCCCAUCAGAAGGGGAUAACACUUGGAAACAGGUGCUAAUACCGUAUAACAAUCGAAACCGCAUGGUUUUGAUUUGAAAGGCGCUUUCGGGUGUCGCUGAUGGAUGGACCCGCGGUGCAUUAGCUAGUUGGUGAGGUAACGGCUCACCAAGGCCACGAUGCAUAGCCGACCUGAGAGGGUGAUCGGCCACAUUGGGACUGAGACACGGCCCAAACUCCUACGGGAGGCAGCAGUAGGGAAUCUUCGGCAAUGGACGAAAGUCUGACCGAGCAACGCCGCGUGAGUGAAGAAGGUUUUCGGAUCGUAAAACUCUGUUGUUAGAGAAGAACAAGGAUGAGAGUAACUG
This 400-nucleotide ribosomal RNA is filed under the name Enterococcus sp. RNAcentral describes it as "bacterial SSU rRNA". It matches the Rfam family "Bacterial small subunit ribosomal RNA", at positions 73 to 465 of the family's 1533-position model. The record is from RNAcentral. Lineage: Bacteria; Bacillati; Bacillota; Bacilli; Lactobacillales; Enterococcaceae.